This 1582-nucleotide long non-coding RNA is filed under the name Papio anubis (olive baboon). RNAcentral's name for it is "lncRNA (ENSPANG00000041634.1)". Lineage: Eukaryota; Metazoa; Chordata; Mammalia; Primates; Cercopithecidae. The record is from RNAcentral.
GUAAAAAAGUGCAACCACCUGCCCUCAGGUUUGCUCUGUCUGUGAAGUAGCCAUUCUCUUAUUCCUUUACUUUUCAAAUAAACUUGGCUUCAGUUUAUGAACUUCCCCUGAAUUACUGCUUGUGUGGGAUCCAAGGACCUUCUCUUGGGGUCUGCAUUGAGACCCCUUUCCUGUAACAUCUUUCUGGAGACUGCAGAAGGGACUAUAGUGUGGAAAUCCCCAGCCCAAAGGCUAACUUUGGGUAAGUGGUGGGGUCCAGUAACAUCUUUCUGGCUAACUCUGAAGGGAUGAUACUAAAGAAACCCCCUGACCCAAAGGAAAUAGACUGAUCAGCCGACUUUGGGUAAGUGGUGGGGUACCAGGUAAAGGAUAGGAUCGGGUUAAGAAGCCCAACUUAGGGGAAUUAGAGUCUCUCCUAAGACAGAGUGGGUUAGAGGGCCCUCUUAAUAAAAGACAAGGACGCUUAACUGACCUUGAGUUAGAGGCCCAACUUAGGAAGGUUACAGUCCCUUAUAAGAUUUAGUGGGUUAAAACCCCUCUCAGUAAAGUUCCUCUCAGUAAAGUCCCUUUCAGCUAAGAAUGGCUUUGGCACUACAGGAUGUUAGCUGCUGUUCUCUUUGGAUUAAUCUAUUGUGCACUCUUUGCUGAAGGCUGUGGGUGGCAGGAUUAGGCAUAUACAGGAUCAUGGGACAUGGGGAGCUUUUUCCUCCCUACAAAAGGACACUUCAGAGUUCAUGGGACUGCUGGAAAAGAUCUCUUCUCGACUGAUAAGCAGCCGCCUGAAAUUUUCAGUGUCACUGUGAUUGGAAACAGUUGGGGAAACUGAUUAUUUCACCAAGGCUUUGAUUGGAAUGAUGUGUUUUCCUUCAAGGAAUCAGACUUCACUUGUAAAGCCAAUAAAAGUCUCUUGAGGAACUGGCCUCAGACAUUGUCUACAACAGUCCCUGUACAGCGUUUCUGACCUGUGGUAAGUAAAGAAUGUCACUGUCUAACAGGUCCAGGAGCCCCAAGUUAUCUUGAGAACCCAAAGGAAGAGGAAUUUACUCAAUUCAUAGGUAUUUGAGGGCACAAAGCCAUGGUAGGGCUCAGCACUAAAAAAUCUUACCUGAAAUUCCUUCUAUGUAACAGAGUUCCAUCAGAGACAAUUUAAAAAGAGUUUAUGUGGAAAGUAAUUAUUCUUUUUGCACAUUAUACAAAUAACCAGGCCAAAUAUAAUAAAGCAAAUCAGUCUUACCAUGAUUUGUCUUUAAUAAAAAUGAGAAAACUAUAGACAGAAAUUAUGUUUCAAGAGCUAUGGCACAUUUAUUAUUAAAUUCUACUCUCAUCAGUUGUUUUUAAGCUUGUUUCUCUCAUGUAGGCUAACCCUGCUUGUUGCUGUGAAACAACCGUGAUUUCUGGCUGCUACUCAGAAGAAACAGGAGUGUUGGGCAAUGUAAAAAUCUGAUCAAUAUUCUAAUUCUCGGUACAUUGGACUCAGCUAGCAACCCUAUAUCAGCUUGGUUCCAGGAGUUGUCCAGUUUAUUGAAAGACUUCUAAUUUAAUUUACUUGGCAUAAUUUUACUUAUUUUGCUUUACUGUUGUG